Molecule: transfer RNA, 71 nt
Filed under: Saprospiraceae bacterium
Lineage: Bacteria; Pseudomonadati; Bacteroidota; Saprospiria; Saprospirales; Saprospiraceae
Also listed under: 1 other name
Description: tRNA-Gly
Rfam family: tRNA
About the family: Transfer RNA (tRNA) molecules are approximately 80 nucleotides in length. Their secondary structure includes four short double-helical elements and three loops (D, anti-codon, and T loops).
Source: RNAcentral
GUGAAAGUAGUUCAAUGGCAGAAUGCUGGCUUGCCAGGCCGGGGAUGGGAGUUCGAAUCUCCUCUUUCACU